GCCCUUAGUUUGAUCCUGGCUCAGAACGAACGCUGGCGGCGCGUUUUAAGCAUGCAAGUCAAAGGGGCUAUUUAUAGCGAUAUAGAUAGCAACUGGCGCACGGGUGAGUAAUAUGUGAGAAUCUACCCUAAGGACUGGGAUAGUAUGCAGAAAUGCAUAGUAAUACCGGAUAUGCCGAGAGGUGAAAAGGUCAACUGAUCUGCCUUAGGAUGAGCUUGCAUCCCAUUAGCUAGUUGGUAGGGUAAGAGCCUACCAAGGCGACGAUGGGUAGCCGGCCUGAGAGGGUGAACGGCCACAUUGGAACUGAGACACGGUCCAGACUCCUACGGGAGGCAGCAGCUAAGAAUCUUCCGCAAUGGGAGGAAUCCUGACGGAGCGACGCCGCGUGAACGAUGAAGGCAGAAAUGUUGUAAAGUUCUUUUGUAUGGGAAGAAUAAGGGGAGGAGUGGAAAGCCUCUCUGAUGACGGUACCAUACGAAUAAGCCACGGCUAACUACGUGCCAGCAGCCGCGGUAAUACGUAGGUGGCAAGCGUUGUUCGGAAUCAUUGGGCGUAAAGGGCAUGUAGGUGGUUUUACAAGUGUGAGUUUGGAUACCGAGCUUAACUUCGAGUAUGGCUUGCAAACUGUAAGACUGGAGUGUAGAAGGGGAGACUGGAAUUCGCUGUGUAGGGGGUGAAACAUGUAGAUAUGCGGGAGGAGACCCU
Molecule: ribosomal RNA, 705 nt
Filed under: uncultured bacterium
Lineage: Bacteria
Description: bacterial SSU rRNA
Rfam family: Bacterial small subunit ribosomal RNA
Source: RNAcentral